This 24-nucleotide non-coding RNA is filed under the name Arabidopsis thaliana (thale cress). The record is from RNAcentral. Lineage: Eukaryota; Viridiplantae; Streptophyta; Magnoliopsida; Brassicales; Brassicaceae.
UCUAAUGCUCUUUUCAUGAUGUCC